RNAcentral lists this ribosomal RNA (92 nucleotides) under Shewanella putrefaciens. Lineage: Bacteria; Pseudomonadati; Pseudomonadota; Gammaproteobacteria; Alteromonadales; Shewanellaceae. The record is from RNAcentral.
CCACCUGAUCCCAUCCCGAACUCAGAAGUGAAACGCAAUCGCGCCGAUGGUAGUGUGGGGUCUCCCCAUGUGAGAGUAGGUCAUCGCCAAGC